This 451-nucleotide ribosomal RNA is filed under the name uncultured bacterium. Its description in RNAcentral is "bacterial SSU rRNA". It matches the Rfam family "Bacterial small subunit ribosomal RNA", at positions 39 to 499 of the family's 1533-position model. The record is from RNAcentral.
GCGGUGCGCCUUAUGCAUGCAAGUCGAGCGAAGCUUUUCAGUAGUUUACUACAGAAAAUGACUGAGCGGCGAACGGGUGAGUAACGCGUGAGCAACCUACCUUAGUUACUGGGAUAGCCCGAGGAAACUCGGAUUAAUACCGGAUAUUCUUAUUUAAUCACAUGAUUUUUUAAGGAAAGGUCAGCCGAACUAAGAUGGGCUCGCGUUCUAUCAGCUAGUUGGUAGGGUAAUGGCCUACCAAGGCUACGACGGAUAGCUGGUCUGAGAGGACGAUCAGCCACACUGGGACUGAGACACGGCCCAGACUCCUACGGGAGGCUGCAGCAGGGAAUAUUGCGCAAUGAGCGAAAGCUUGACGCAGCGACACCGCGUGUGGGAUGACGGAUCUAGGUUUGUAAACCACUUUCAGGAGGGAAGAAAAUGACGGUACCUCCACAAGAAGCCCCGGCCA